RNAcentral lists this ribosomal RNA (480 nucleotides) under anammox bacterium enrichment culture clone EAMX-c7. Its description in RNAcentral is "bacterial SSU rRNA". It matches the Rfam family "Bacterial small subunit ribosomal RNA", at positions 365 to 832 of the family's 1533-position model. The record is from RNAcentral.
UUCGCAAUGCCCGAAAGGGUGACGAAGCGACGCCGCGUGUGGGAAGAAGGCCUUCGGGUUGUAAACCACUGUCGGGAGUUAAGAAAUGCAGGAGCGUUAAUAGCGUACUUGCUUGACUAAGGCUCCGGAGGAAGCCACGGCUAACUCUGUGCCAGCAGCCGCGGUAAUACAGAGGCGGCAAGCGUUGUUCGGAAUUAUUGGGCGUAAAGAGCAUGUAGGCGGCCUUGCAAGUCGGUUGUGAAAGCCUUCCGCUUAACGGAAGAAUGGCAUCUGAUACUACAGGGGUUGAGUACGGGGAGGGGAGAGUGGAAAUUUCUGGGGGGAGCGGUGAAAUGCGUAGAUACCAGAAGGAACGCCGGCGGCGAAAGCGACUCUCUGGCCCGAAACUGACGCUGAGUGUGCGAAAGCUAGGGGAGCAAACGGGAUUAGAUACCCCGGUAGUCCUAGCCGUAAACGAUGGGCACUAAGUAGAGGGGUUUU